UAUCUCUGUAGAGUCUGCAUAUCAAUAAGCGGAGGAAAAGAAACUAACUAGGAUUCCCUCAGUAACGGCGAGUGAAGCGGGAAGAGCUCAAAUUUGAAAUCUUCAAGGUUCUACCUUGACGAAUUGUAGUUUAAAGAAGUGUUUUCUGUUGGAGUUUUGGUAAAAGUUCUUUGGAAUAGGACAUCAUAGAGGGUGAGAAUCCCGUAUUUGACCAUUAUUUCCAGCUUUGUGAUACACUUUCAAAGAGUCGGGUUGUUUGGGAAUGCAGUCCAAAAUGGGUGGUAAAUUUCAUCUAAAGCUAAAUACUGGCGAGAGACCGAUAGCGAACAAGUACCGUGAGGGAAAGAUGAAAAGAACUUUGAAAAGAGAGUUAAACAGUACGUGAAAUUGUCAAAAGGGAAGCGUUUGACACCAGUGUUGUUUUCUCGAAAAUCAAUUAAAAAUGAUGGAUUUUGUGUUGUAUUGACUUUAUCAGCUUUCUGCACUUUUUCUUAGUCCUUUUUAAUGCACUUUUCGUUUAACAAGUCAACAUCAAUUUCUUUUGUUGUAAAAGAGUCAUUGGAAGGUGGCUUUUCUUUCGGAGAAAGUGUUUAUAGCCUUUGGCUUCUGCAAUCGGAGAGAUUGAGGUCUGCAGCGUAGAUCCUUCGGGGUUAGAUACAUUUGUGCUAAGCUAUAGUUCUUUCAUAGACAACUUGUUGACUAUGAUCAGUCCUAGUAGCUUACUCGCUUAUGCUAUUUUACCUACGCUUAGGAUGAUUGACGAUCAGCUGAGCGCG
RNAcentral lists this ribosomal RNA (776 nucleotides) under uncultured Neocallimastigales. RNAcentral's name for it is "partial large subunit ribosomal RNA". It matches the Rfam family "Eukaryotic large subunit ribosomal RNA", at positions 24 to 627 of the family's 3401-position model. Lineage: Eukaryota; Fungi; Neocallimastigomycota; Neocallimastigomycetes; Neocallimastigales. The record is from RNAcentral.